GCGAUUGUAGCUCAGUUGGUUAGAGCACCGGUUUGUGGUACCGGAUGUCGGGGAUUCGAGUUCCCUCAAUCGCCCCA
This 77-nucleotide transfer RNA is filed under the name Terasakiella magnetica. RNAcentral's name for it is "Candidatus Terasakiella magnetica tRNA-His". It matches the Rfam family "tRNA". Rfam says of the family: Transfer RNA (tRNA) molecules are approximately 80 nucleotides in length. Their secondary structure includes four short double-helical elements and three loops (D, anti-codon, and T loops). The record is from RNAcentral. Lineage: Bacteria; Pseudomonadati; Pseudomonadota; Alphaproteobacteria; Rhodospirillales; Terasakiellaceae. RNAcentral also lists the same sequence under 1 other name.